This 119-nucleotide ribosomal RNA is filed under the name Prochlorococcus sp. Lineage: Bacteria; Bacillati; Cyanobacteriota; Cyanophyceae; Synechococcales; Prochlorococcaceae. The record is from RNAcentral.
GCCUACAGCCAUAUCAGCCUGGGUAUACCAGUUCUCGUCUAAUCACUGAAGUCAAGCAGGGUAGGGCCAUAUCAGUACUUGGGUGGGUGACUGCAUAUGAGCACAUGUUGAUGUAGGCU